Molecule: small nucleolar RNA, 104 nt
Organism: Ursus americanus (American black bear)
Lineage: Eukaryota; Metazoa; Chordata; Mammalia; Carnivora; Ursidae
Source: Ensembl
GUUGAGGUUUAGCCUGACGGGGCUGUUUCUGCAGACCUACGUCGUUGGGAAUGCCUCAGAUACAUGUGGUUUCCUUAACUCACUCAAAGAAGUCCAACCGAAAG